Long non-coding RNA from Nannospalax galili (Upper Galilee mountains blind mole rat), 366 nucleotides. RefSeq lists it as uncharacterized. The transcript is spliced from 3 exons. The record is from RefSeq and is a predicted model, not a curated record. Lineage: Eukaryota; Metazoa; Chordata; Mammalia; Rodentia; Spalacidae.
CCAAGCAGCUUUAGGAACUUCUCUUCUCUCAAGGAUAUAGCCCAAGAUAUCAGCACCACCAUCAUCGGCAGGAGGCCUCCAACUGACUCUUACAGAACGGGCUUAACCAAGUCAUAAGUUCCAGAAUCAUCUCUGUCUGCUUCUUUGAUCACAAGCUCAGUGUGGGUUUCAGAUGUUGCAAUCAUGGCACGUUUACUAAUAUCCUGGCCGUCCUUGGUCCAUUUACAUACUGGGAAUGGUUUUCCUUUGAUUGGUAUGAACUCACAGAAUUAUAUACUUCAGAAGGAUGAGAUUUUCCACUUAAAACUAUAUCUCAAUAAACUUGGCUUAUACUAAAUAUAUUUACCAAUUGGAUCCAUGGCCACG